This 253-nucleotide ribosomal RNA is filed under the name uncultured bacterium. RNAcentral's name for it is "partial 16S ribosomal RNA". It matches the Rfam family "Bacterial small subunit ribosomal RNA", at positions 524 to 776 of the family's 1533-position model. The record is from RNAcentral.
UACGUAGGGGGCAAGCGUUGUCCGGAUUUAUUGGGCGUAAAGAGCGUGUAGGCGGCCUGACAGGUCUGCUGUGAAAACUCGAGGCUCAACCUCGAGAUGUCGGCGGAAACCGUCUGGCUAGAGUCCGGAAGAGGAGAGUGGAAUUCCGCGUGUAGCAGUGAAAUGCGUAGAUAUGCGGAGGAACACCGAUGGCGAAGGCAAUCCCCUGGGCCUGCACUGACGCUCAUGCACGAAAGCGUGGGGAGCAAACAGG